Molecule: long non-coding RNA, 1038 nt
Organism: Chenopodium quinoa (quinoa)
Lineage: Eukaryota; Viridiplantae; Streptophyta; Magnoliopsida; Caryophyllales; Amaranthaceae
Exons: 2
Source: RefSeq, a predicted model, not a curated record
AUCAACCUUACUUAUGCCUCACCCCUCUUUAUCCUAUCUCCUCUAUCGUCAGUUUGUCACUUCCACUCACUCACUCUCUCUCUCUCUCUCUCUCUCUCUCUCUGUUGCUCACUCAAUCUCUCUACUUCUCUCAUCUCGACGGUAAACCAAGGUAAUUAGACCAUUGUUUCUCCUUCCACAUACAAUACCAAGGUAAAAUUUUCUCAUUUUUCUAUUUAAAUUCCUCAAUUUUCGUUGCUUUACUCUCAAAUUAGUUUUUUGGGGAUUUCAUGGGUUUUGUGGGUUUGUGAGGGUGGUGUUCAUGGUCGGAUCUAACUUUCUUGAUUUUUAGGGUGGGUGUCACGGGUCAGAACAGUUGUGUUUGUGGUGGUCGGAUAGAUUUGUGGGUGUAAAUCUGGGUUCGUGGUGUAAAUCUGGGUAAGUGUACGGCGGUGGUGAUGGUAAGUGUACGGAGGUGGUGUUCAUUCAUUUUGUGUGGAUUUUCUCGUUCAUAAUUUGUAGAUCUAUAGUUGUUCUUUUGAAUUUUGAGGAAUUAUGCAUAUUUGUGUUAUGAUUGUAUUAUGAUAAAAAGGGAUUGUUCUCAACACACAAAAAAUGGCUGUAAAUUUGACAUCGAAAUCUGCUAUAAUCGAGGUUGGUGGAGGACACUUGAAUCAUUCUUUCUCAUCCAAGAACUCCAACCUUGGAAUUAAAUUUUCUCACUUUUAGCUGCGUGCUUUGCCUCAAAUCUGCUAUAAUCGAGGUUGGUGGAGGACACUUGAAUCAUUCAUCUCAAUCUCACUUUCGUUCUUCAAAGUUGCGUGCUUUGCCUCAAAUUAGAGCUCAAACUGUUUCAGGUGGAUCAUACAAUAUCUACACAAGGGAGCUUAAGACUCAACGUAUCGGACCACAAAUGUUGGGAUAAAACUUGUUUUAUUACAAUUAUGAUUUGUUUUUGCUCUUUUAUUAGUCUUAGUCUUAAGAUGUAAACUUGGGACAUUAUAUGAGCAAGUUGAUAAAUUUUGAAGUGAUAAUGAAUAUAUUUUUGCUUAUAGUAUA